AAUAUGAUAGCAGAAUACACAUGUGAAAUGUUUUGAGGUUAUACAUAAUUGAAUUAAGAAAUAUUAAUAAUUUUAGAAUUUUCUCGUGAAAUGUAGCUAUUGUAAACAAACCUGUUUAAAUAAAAAAGCUGCCCAACAUUUAUGUAUUCGAGAAUUUGACGAAUUUUUUGUUGAUCCAGAUACAUAUGAAUUUUGGGCAUACGAUGGUAAUAAAAUUGUUUCUGAAUUAUCUGACGAGCAUUUUGCUCAAUUAGAAAAUAUUGCUAAUAAGGAAAAUGCCAGUAUUAAUAUCAACCAAAGUAUCUCCAAUAAAAAAGUAAAAACAUCCAAAAAAACCAAGGCUCCUCUUAAUGUUGUUCAAUUAAAACUUGACCAAGAAGAGCAACUGAUUUUUGAAGUUAUGAACAGGAUACUUCUGUGGGAUUUUACAAUCCCAUUAAAAGGAGCAAAAUCAUAAAAACCAAACUAUGGUUAGAAGUAUCUGACUCACUUAAAGGUGCUUUUACCCCAGAUGGUGCUAAAAAAAAGUUUAAGGCAUUAACUGACACAUUUAGAAAAAUCAUUCGGGAUGAGCAAUGUC
Nylanderia fulva is the source of this 580-nucleotide non-coding RNA. The record is from RefSeq and is a predicted model, not a curated record. NCBI's taxonomy places the organism in Eukaryota, Metazoa, Arthropoda, Insecta, Hymenoptera, Formicidae.